RNAcentral lists this ribosomal RNA (553 nucleotides) under uncultured archaeon. RNAcentral describes it as "bacterial SSU rRNA". It matches the Rfam family "Archaeal small subunit ribosomal RNA", at positions 325 to 879 of the family's 1478-position model. The record is from RNAcentral.
ACGGGGUGCAGCAGGCGCGAAAACUUCACACUGCGCGAAAGCGCGAUGAGGGAAUCCCAAGUGCUUGCACGUAAGUGUAAGCUGUUUCUAUGUCUAAAACGCAUAGAGAGUAAGAGCUGGGUAAGACGGGUGCCAGCCGCCGCGGUAAUACCUGCAGCUCAAGUGGUGGCCGUUAUUAUUGGGCCUAAAACGUCCGUAGCCGGUUUAUUAAAUGCCUGGGUAAAUCGGGCCGCUUAACGGUUCGAAUUCCGGGUAGACUGAUAGACUUGGGACCGGGAGAGGCUAGAGGUACUCCUGGGGUAGAGGUGAAAUUCUGUAAUCCUAGGGGGACCACCAGUGGCGAAGGCGUCUAGCUAGAACGGGUCUGACGGUGAGGGACGAGGCCCUGGGGCGCAAACCGGAUUAGAUACCCGGGUAGUCCAGGGUGUAAACGCUGCUUGCUUGAUGUUAGUCGGGCUCCGAGCCCGAUUAGUGUCGGAGAGAAGUUGUUAAGCAAGCUGCCUGGGAAGUACGGCCGCAAGACUGAAACUUAAAGGAAUUGGCGGGGGAGCAC